This is a long non-coding RNA of Lingula anatina, 705 nucleotides long. The record is from RefSeq and is a predicted model, not a curated record. NCBI's taxonomy places the organism in Eukaryota, Metazoa, Brachiopoda, Lingulata, Lingulida, Lingulidae.
CUUUUUGCUCAAAGAAGUUUACUUGAUCUUUACCAAAUGACACUCUUUGAAUAUGGGGAGGGAAGAGGAAUUGUAGAAAUUCACCAGGUCUAGACAGUGUUGUAUACCAUAUAGCCAACCCAGAUAAAGACAAAUGUAAUGUAAUGUAAUGAUUUAUAUUAUUUCAUAAGUCCAUGAUAAAGAAGAUAUUCCCUGUGAUUGGUCAGUGGUAGCCAAGAAGGCUUCUGGAGUGUAACUGCUUUCCAUCUGUAUUUGAAAAAUUCUUUGAUAUUCAAGAAAAAGGGGAGGUAGGAUGAAAGAGAGCUGUGAUCAAUAACAGAACAGAAAAAAUAAAAGCUAUUGGCGAAUACAAAAUUGCAUAACGUCUCUUUAAGACAAAUACUAGUAACUUCUCACUGUUAGCUAAACAUUUUUCAAAAGCACUGUAUAGAAGUGAGAUCUUUCAGAAACAUUGUGAAUAAGUUAUUCCAUUUAUUGAUUGUGGCAGUUGAUAAUAUUAAUGAUUUAUUUUGUAAAAAUGUAUAUUAAGUAAACUGUUGGAUAAUUUUCCCCAAUUCAUUACUUAUUUGAAUGAAAAUAAUGAUUAAUUUCAAAAAUUGGUAUAAAAUCUGUAGGUAUCAUUAUGUGGAUAUAAAGAAAAGCUGUGUGGUGAUCCUCUUUAGCACUGAGUUCAAAGAUCUAGAUGAUGUCAUCAUUGGAUAUAAA